Molecule: long non-coding RNA, 506 nt
Organism: Peromyscus eremicus (cactus mouse)
Lineage: Eukaryota; Metazoa; Chordata; Mammalia; Rodentia; Cricetidae
Exons: 3
Source: RefSeq, a predicted model, not a curated record
GAACCCCCUGCCUACCUUAAGACUCACCUGAGCCUCAGUUCUACAAUGUUCUAGAUGACUCCUGAGUCCCCUCCAGAGGCUUGUUUCUUCCUGUAAUAUUUUUCAAGGCAACAACCUCCAUGUCCCUGAGCUGUGCGUGAGUGGAGCAGAAAGAUCCACCAGGUAUGUGGGCGGAGGAAGCUCAUCAUCUCCUCUGGCCUGUCCUGAUCCUCUGGAGCCACUUAGGAGAGCUGGACAGGAGAUUCAAACAAUCCCUACAGUCCGAGGUCCCAUCUUCCUUUUGGGGGCCUACUCAGUAAAGCCAGUCCCCAUCUCUGCUGCAAGUCUUCAGUGAGUUUUGGAUGGACAGCCUGGCCUGGACCUUGAUGGACACUCUGCUGUAGCUGCAAUGCAUAUGGCCUGGUGUGGCUUCUGGGGAAUGUUAUCUUCUUCAUCAUACUUUCACUUCUCCACAGAAGCUUCUAAAGCCUGCCACUCGGAAGCUGACCUUUCCUAACACACUUCCG